This is a long non-coding RNA of Mastacembelus armatus (zig-zag eel), 2123 nucleotides long. Ensembl lists it as uncharacterized. The record is from Ensembl. Lineage: Eukaryota; Metazoa; Chordata; Actinopteri; Synbranchiformes; Mastacembelidae.
CAUUGAUCAAGCUGCCAGUAGUUUGACUGAAGUGACAGAGACAGUUCUUUUCAGUUUUCUCCAUCAUCUCAGAAUGAACAUCCACCAGCUUCUGUUUCUGUGCUUCUUCCCAGCACUGAGGCGCUUUGGGCUUGUCAGUGCAAAACUCAGGAUUUACACAGGAGCUGAAGGAGGAAAUGGUACGCUUAACUGCCACUUUUCUCAGCCUGGAAGCAGAACGUUCUUCUGUAAGGAACAAUGUAAAGAAGACGACAUUCUCAUUAAAACAGAUGAUGUCAGAGCCACCAGUGGCAGAUACAGCACUAAAUAUAAAAAAGAAUCUUCUGGUAAAGUAAUUCUAUCUGUGACCUUUACACAUCUGGCCAAGUCUGACUCAGGACGGUACAGACAUGGUUUGGGUUUGGACACGUCUCUGGUUCCAGAUUCAUACUGUGACUUUGAGAUCAAAGUUUCAGACGCACCUUUGGCCGAUAACUCAAUUUUUCACUAUACAAGUACUCAAGGAGAAAAUGUUGAAUAUCCAUGUUUCAAUAAUAGUAACAGAGGCAGUAUAUUCUUCUGUAAGGAGCCAUGUAAAAAAGAAGAAGACGUCCUCAUUGAAACAGAAAACAGCAGCGCCCAGAAAGGCAGAUACAGCAUCGAAUAUAAAGCAAACUCCGUAUUUGGACUGUAUGUGACCAUCAAACAGGUGGACACAUGGGACAGAGGACGGUACAGGUGUGGCUAUGGCAGAGCUUUGUCUUCUGAUUCAUAUACAACAUUUUCAGUCAUUACUGAAGAUGCAGAUGCUGGAGACAGGAAACAGGAGGAGCCUAUGACGCCUAUGACUCAGUUCAGCAGCCUAAAACCAACAGCAGACGCCAGUGUAAGGACUCCCCUACCAGAGAACUCAACAGGUUUAUAUAAUUUAACACUUUUCAGGUUAUUGCUCCACAGGUUUACUAGUAUCCAACAGGGCAGCUUUAAUUCCAAGCCCAAGACAAUAAAUACCAUUUAUUAAUCAUACACCACGACUGUCUGUCUACUAUCUCUCUCUCUCUCUCUCUCUCUCUCUUCCCAGCCUUCUCCCAGCUCUCUCACCCAGAUUAUUUCUGGCCUCUGGUAGUAUGUGUCCCCUUGGCUGCUGUAUUACUGUCUUUCGUGUUUCCGCUGCUGCUGUACAAACAGAUGAGGAGGAGGAAGACCAGAGGAAACAUAGAUGGUGUAAAUAUGGAGGUGACGUUCUUUUGCUUGUUUGUCUCUGGUUACAUGAGUCUAAGUGGCUGCUAUGUGGUGUUGGAUUUGCAGAGUAGUUCUCACACUAAGGGCACCUAAUGAUUGCUGACUGCAAACUAUCCAUACUCCACACAGAAAUGCCCCAGGUCGAUUUGAGUUCAAACCUUUGACUGUGUGGCGACAGCGAGACACCACUGUACCAUAGUUCCACCUCCUCUAAAAAAAAUAUAUAUAUAUAUAGUUUGUAGGGAAUGGGUGGAUGGAUGAGUCUAAGAAUAACACACAGCUGGUCUGUUGUGGCAGGUUUCAGUUCUCUCCUUUGUAUUUUUCAGACUUAUCAGAACUGGACUCCAGUCUCUGGGUGUGAAGACUCUGUGUACGAGAGCCUUGAUCCAGCCAGCAGGGACCAGAACCAAUGCUACUCUGUUUUCACAAAGACAUACACCAAAUGCUAAUGUUUUAAUCUGAAUCUGGAGUGUGUGUUGAUCUUGUGCUGCUAGGCUCCGUCUUUUAUUUUAUUGUUUGGCAAAUAUUUCAUAAUUUUAUCAUAUAUUUUAUAACUUCUCUUUCUGAUGACACAGACCUGAUCAUGUUUCUUCAGGAGUUCAGCACCUUCUCACUUGAUUAUUUUGAAAUCUGUCUUCAAAAAGUGGAUGUGUCUGUAGUUCUUCUUCUACACUCUGAGCAUUACAUAAAGAAAUGAGUGUAGUCCUGCUUAUUUCAGAUUAUUGCUUUGAUUCAGUUAUUAAAUCAUUGUAUCUGCUGUUGGGUCCAGUUUUUUCCAAUAUCUUAGUACAGGAAGAAGUACAUAUUGCACCGUGAUGGCUAAACAGAAAUACUCUUACACUGCUGGUAUGGUUGAAUGUGUGAAAAAACACAGCGACUCAACAACCACAGCUCCAAAUGUG